This 253-nucleotide ribosomal RNA is filed under the name uncultured bacterium. RNAcentral describes it as "partial 16S ribosomal RNA". It matches the Rfam family "Bacterial small subunit ribosomal RNA", at positions 524 to 776 of the family's 1533-position model. The record is from RNAcentral.
UACGUAGGGUGCGAGCGUUGUCCGGAAUUAUUGGGCGUAAAGAGCUCGUAGGCGGUUUGUUGCGUCGGCCGUGAAAACUUGGGGCUUAACCCCGAGCCUGCGGUCGAUACGGGCAGACUUGAGUUCGGCAGGGGAGACUGGAAUUCCUGGUGUAGCGGUGAAAUGCGCAGAUAUCAGGAGGAACACCAAUAGCGAAGGCAGCUCGCUGGGACGGUACUGACGCUAAGGCGCGAAAGCGUGGGGAGCGAACAGG